Non-coding RNA from Phthorimaea operculella (potato tuberworm), 76 nucleotides. The record is from the annotation of a GenBank genome assembly. NCBI's taxonomy places the organism in Eukaryota, Metazoa, Arthropoda, Insecta, Lepidoptera, Gelechiidae.
GCUGCGGUUGCCCAGUUGGUAGUGGCGUCAGCAGUACAAAUGCCGAAAGUCGCAGGUUCAAAUCCUGCCUGUGGUG